AGAGAGUACAAGCGUUAAUCAGAAUUACUGGGCGUAAAGCGCGCGUAGGUGGAUACUUAAGUCGGAUGUGAAAGCCCUGGGCUUAACCUGGGAAUUGCACCCGAUACUGGGUAUCUAGAGUAUGGUAGAGGGAAGUGGAAUUUCCGGUGUAGCGGUGAAAUGCGUAGAUAUCGGAAAGAACACCAGUGGCGAAGGCGGCUUCCUGGACCAAUACUAACACUGAGGUGCGAAAGCGUGGGGAGCAAACAGGGAUUAGAGACCCUGGUAGUCCACGCCGUCAACGAUGAGAACUAGCUGUUGGAAGGUUUACCCCUUUUAGUAGCGAAGCUAACGCGUUAAGUUCUCCGCCUGGGGAGUACGGCCGCAAGGUUA
RNAcentral lists this ribosomal RNA (372 nucleotides) under uncultured organism. RNAcentral describes it as "partial 16S ribosomal RNA". It matches the Rfam family "Bacterial small subunit ribosomal RNA", at positions 527 to 896 of the family's 1533-position model. The record is from RNAcentral.